Molecule: ribosomal RNA, 765 nt
Filed under: Lactiplantibacillus plantarum
Lineage: Bacteria; Bacillati; Bacillota; Bacilli; Lactobacillales; Lactobacillaceae
Description: bacterial SSU rRNA
Rfam family: Bacterial small subunit ribosomal RNA
Source: RNAcentral
CGUCGAACGAACUCUGGUAUUGAUUGGUGCUUGCAUCAUGAUUUACAUUUGAGUGAGUGGCGAACUGGUGAGUAACACGUGGGAAACCUGCCCAGAAGCGGGGGAUAACACCUGGAAACAGAUGCUAAUACCGCAUAACAACUUGGACCGCAUGGUCCGAGUUUGAAAGAUGGCUUCGGCUAUCACUUUUGGAUGGUCCCGCGGCGUAUUAGCUAGAUGGUGGGGUAACGGCUCACCAUGGCAAUGAUACGUAGCCGACCUGAGAGGGUAAUCGGCCACAUUGGGACUGAGACACGGCCCAAACUCCUACGGGAGGCAGCAGUAGGGAAUCUUCCACAAUGGACGAAAGUCUGAUGGAGCAACGCCGCGUGAGUGAAGAAGGGUUUCGGCUCGUAAAACUCUGUUGUUAAAGAAGAACAUAUCUGAGAGUAACUGUUCAGGUAUUGACGGUAUUUAACCAGAAAGCCACGGCUAACUACGUGCCAGCAGCCGCGGUAAUACGUAGGUGGCAAGCGUUGUCCGGAUUUAUUGGGCGUAAAGCGAGCGCAGGCGGUUUUUUAAGUCUGAUGUGAAAGCCUUCGGCUCAACCGAAGAAGUGCAUCGGAAACUGGGAAACUUGAGUGCAGAAGAGGACAGUGGAACUCCAUGUGUAGCGGUGAAAUGCGUAGAUAUAUGGAAGAACACCAGUGGCGAAGGCGGCUGUCUGGUCUGUAACUGACGCUGAGGCUCGAAAGUAUGGGUAGCAAAACAGGAUUAGAUACCCUG